RNAcentral lists this unclassified non-coding RNA (213 nucleotides) under Glomus sp. Its description in RNAcentral is "partial contains 5.8S ribosomal RNA and internal transcribed spacer 2". The stretch from base 1 to 65 matches the Rfam family "5.8S ribosomal RNA", at positions 84 to 154 of the family's 154-position model. The record is from RNAcentral. Lineage: Eukaryota; Fungi; Glomeromycota; Glomeromycetes; Glomerales; Glomeraceae.
GUGAAUCAUCGAAUUUUUGAGCGCAAAUUGCACUCUCCUCGGAGAGUAUGCCUGUUUGAGGGUCAGCCUAUAAAAAAUCGACAUCGUUGCUGUUUCGCGGUGGCGUUCGUCGGAAAUUGGGUUAUCUUAAACUUUUGGGUUUAGCGGCCUUAAAAUUUCCUUUUUAUUUCAUUGAAGUUUUCUAGGAUUUAUUCUUUAAAACGUUUAGGUAAC